This 1656-nucleotide ribosomal RNA is filed under the name Triticum aestivum (bread wheat). Its description in RNAcentral is "partial small subunit ribosomal RNA". Lineage: Eukaryota; Viridiplantae; Streptophyta; Magnoliopsida; Poales; Poaceae. The record is from RNAcentral.
AUGGAUAAGCCUGAACCGCUCGCCGCUGUUGCUGCCAUUGUUGACCAGUGCGUAGAGCGGGAAGAGAUGGCUGCGUCGGAGCUACACUUCCUGCUGGUGCCGCUGGUGGCGCAGGGCCACAUCAUCCCCAUGGUGGACCUGGCGCGCCUCCUCGCCGCGCGGGGGCCGCGCGUCACCGUCGUCACCACGCCUGUCAACGCUGCGCGGAACAGGGCCACCGUCGACAGCGCCAGGAGGGCGGGCCUCGCCAUCGAGCUCGCGGAGCUCCCCUUCCCCGGCCCGCAGCUGGGGUUGCCGGAGGGGCUGGAGAACCUCGACCAGCUGCUCGACGACGUCAGCAGUACCACGUACCUCGCCUUCUUCCAGGCCAUCUGGAAGAUGGCGGAGCCGCUGCAGGGGUACGUCCGUGCGCUGCCGCGGCGGCCGGACUGCCUCGUCGCCGACUCGUGCAACCCGUGGACGGCGGGCGUUUGCACGGCGCUCGACAUCCCGAGGCUGGUGCUGCACUGCCCGUCCGCCUAUUUCCUCCUCGCCGUGCACAACCUGUCCACGCACGGCGUGUACGACCGCGUCGGCGACGACGAGUUGGAGCCGUUCGAGGUGCCGGACUUCCCGGUGCGCGCCGUCGGGAACACGGCCACGUUCCGCGGCUUCUUCCAGCACCCCGGCGCGGAGAAGGAGCAGCGCGACGUUCUCGAUGCCGAGGUCACCGCUGAUGGCCUGCUGAUCAACACGUUCCGCGGCGUCGAGGGCAUCUUCGUCGACGCGUACGCGGUGGCGCUCGGCAAGAGGACGUGGGCCAUCGGGCCGACGUGCACCUCCGGCAUCUUGGACAAGGACGCCGACGCCAUGGCCGGCCGCGGCAACCGCGCUGACGUCGAUGUCGGCCACGUCGUCUCAUGGCUCGACGCCAUGCCACCGGCGUCUGUGCUGUACGUCAGUUUCGGCAGCAUCGCGCAGCUGCCAGCGAAGCAGCUCGCCGAGCUCGCGCGCGGCCUCGAGGCGUCGGGGCGGCCGUUCGUCUGGGCCAUCAAAAGGGCCAAGGCCGACGCCGCCGUGAAGGCGCUGCUCGACGAUGAAGGGUUCGAGUCGCGCGUGGAGGACAGGGGCCUCGUCGUGCGCGGGUGGGCACCGCAGGUGACCAUCCUCUCGCACCGGGCGGUGGGCGGCUUCCUCACGCACUGCGGCUGGAACGCCACGCUGGAGGCCAUCUCCCACGGCGUGCCGACGCUGACAUGGCCCUGCUUCGCCGACCAGUUCUGCAGCGAGCGGCUGCUCGUGGACGUGCUCCGCGUAGGCGUCAGGUCCGGCGUCAAGGUGCCCGCCAAGAACGUCCCCGAGGAGGCCGAGGGCGUCCAGGUGCCGAGCGGCGACAUGGAGAAGGCCAUUGCCGAGCUGAUGGACGGCGGGUCCGAGGGGAUGGUGAGGAGGUCCAGAGCCAAGGAAGUCGCCGCGGAGAUGAGAGUGGCCAUGGAGGAAGGCGGGUCGUCCUACUCCGACCUGACGGACAUGAUCCACUACGUCUCGGAGCUGUCGAGGAAAAGCAGCCACGAGAGGGACGGAAGCUCGAUGACCCUGCCUUUCGCGGUGGCAGAGCUCCGAAGCAACGACAGCGACAAGAUCGAAGCCGGUGCUGCAUUGUCACUACAGUCCUAA